CAACCUCAUGGCCUUGGAAGCUUCUUAGAUCCUCCAUCUAAUCCAAGAGUGGAAAAACGAGAGGUCACACAGGUGUGCAUUGCAUAAUCAUUUCAGCACUGUCAAUUGAUUUCUAAAAGCCGCCCCUUGUAAUUUAGACUGCUAAAAAUGGACACAAGGAGGCUUUACACAAGAACUUGGUCUAAAUGGUUUGAUGCUGUACAAACAGUGAAAGUUGCUGUACAGGUCAUGACAGUAGCUGCUUUUCUGAAGGCGUCUUUGUAAUCAACCGUUUCAAAUGUGCACUCAUUGCUUCAAUGGACUUUCUGGCACUGGUUGUUACUCAAAGGCCAGUCCUAUCAUCAUCUAGGAGGCAACAUCAUUUUUUAGAGGGGCAUCAACAAACAUGAUGUAACUUCCUUGGCAGUCUAUGGGACAGUCACAGGGCUCCCGGUUUUCAUCCAAAAUAUCUUAAAUUGUGUUCCGAAGAAGAACAAAGCUUUUACGGUUUGGAACGACAUGGGGGUAAGUGAAUAAUGACAAAAUUUUCAUUUUGGGGUGGAGUAUCCAUUUAAUAGUGCAUUUAAAACUUAAAAUAUAAUAAUAUAAAUAUAGAAAUG
Molecule: long non-coding RNA, 599 nt
Organism: Cyprinus carpio carpio
Lineage: Eukaryota; Metazoa; Chordata; Actinopteri; Cypriniformes; Cyprinidae
Source: Ensembl